Non-coding RNA from Onthophagus taurus, 827 nucleotides. The record is from RefSeq and is a predicted model, not a curated record. Lineage: Eukaryota; Metazoa; Arthropoda; Insecta; Coleoptera; Scarabaeidae.
GUUUCUGACUGUUGAAAAAUUGAGGCCUUAUCUCUUUAUUGAGGAUCUGGCUCAACAAUCUUAAAAGUCCUUCUGGAAGACUUGCGAGGUGGGCAGUACUCCUUCAGCAGUAUAAUUUUACCAUCAUUCAUUGUAAGGGUAAAGAUAACGUUGUACCAGAUAUGUUGUCCAGAACUGUUCCGAGAAUAGACGAAGUUGAAGAAUCGUUUGAAGACAAAAAUUGAAGUUCAAGGCCAUAAAUACCCAUCAUAUACAGUUCAAGAUGGAAUAAUCUAUAAUGUGAAACACCAGACCUUGAUUAUGAAACGAAUCAAUGGAGGAUCUAAGGAAGAACGUUUAACGAGAAAUUUAACGAUGAAGCGGAAGUUGGAGAUCAUCUUGGAGUGAUGAAGACGGUGGAAAAGAUCAGUCAACUUUAUUAUUGGAUGUGGCAAGGUAUGUUAAAGCUUGUCAAAUAUGUCAACGAACGAAUCCAGAACAGAAAAACCCUGGUGAUGAAAAAUCAUGGAAAAACCAUAACGGUGAACAUAACAACGCGUUUAGAGUCAAUGAACAAGAAAUAUGUAGAAGCAAUAGCUUAAAAACAAUACAGUUUGGUUAAAAAAAAAGAAGAAGCAAGGUUAUACCUGGGCGAUAAUGUCUCGAAGGAUUUUUUUAUGAGUUUAUGGUACACAACCUAACGGUGGAACGUGGCUGGGCUUUGUUAUUCGAAAAAUUUCCAUACUCUGCGGACGGCUUGCGUGAAAUCGGUAGCAAAAUCAGGUAGUUUUUUUAUUUAUUGCCCUAUUUUUUGUUUAUUUCUUGAAUAAAAAUCGUUUUUGAGUAUU